GGUCCAUAGCUCAGUGGGUAGAACAUCUGCUCUGCAUGCAGAAGGACCCGGGUUCAAGCCCCAGCAUCUCCU
Non-coding RNA from Podarcis lilfordi (Lilford's wall lizard), 72 nucleotides. The record is from the annotation of a GenBank genome assembly. Lineage: Eukaryota; Metazoa; Chordata; Lepidosauria; Squamata; Lacertidae.